GCCGACCCUCUCCUCGAACCGCUGCCUCUUCUCCCUCGCCUCGAGCCACCGCCCUCUGGCCGACAAGCACACCCGCGUCUAGAGUAACCGCCUCAGGCCGUCUAGCGCUCCCGCACCUAGAGCAGCCACCUCGCGAGCCACCGCUUCAGGCCGUCUAGCGCUCCCGGACCUAGAGCUCUAAACCUCCUUAGUAGUUGUAACGUGGCGGUUGGAUCUUAUCGUCGUCGGUCAGUUAUCUUAAACAACGAAAUCGUUGAAGGCUUCCUCAAGGGAGAACCAUACCACUGGUUCGUCCUCUCUAUUGUGUCCUGAUGGAGGUGCGGUGGCCUUUGCGAGAAGUUGGUGGCCUUUGCGAGAAGUUCGUCCUCUCUAUGGUGUCAUGAUGGUGUCGGGCCACCCACAACACGAGAAGUUGGUAAACCUCUGCCUGAAGCGGUACUUCGGACUUCCGACGCAACGCGUCUACUAGCAGAUCCUCCUAAGCCCAGGUAACCGCAAACUUGUAGCUCCGAACCAUCUAUGUAGAUCUCUUUACCAGACCAACAAACGGAGACUACAAUUUACCCUAGAGUACUAGAGAAGCUCAACUCUACAAGUUACAACGUAGGUACUUGUGAUGUUCACGAUUCUAACAAGAAACUGGUAUCAGGAAGCAAAUAAAACGUAACCUGGACAGAACUAAAGGUAGGUACUUAUGACG
RNAcentral lists this ribosomal RNA (700 nucleotides) under Triticum aestivum (bread wheat). RNAcentral describes it as "partial small subunit ribosomal RNA". The record is from RNAcentral. Lineage: Eukaryota; Viridiplantae; Streptophyta; Magnoliopsida; Poales; Poaceae.